CAGUCGCCGCGGGAAUACAGAGGGUGCAAGCGUUAAUCGGAAUUACUGGGCGUAAAGCGCGCGUAGGUGGUUUGUUAAGUUGGAUGUGAAAGCCCCGGGCUCAACCUGGGAACUGCAUCCAAAACUGGCAAGCUAGAGUACGGUAGAGGGUGGUGGAAUUUCCUGUGUAGCGGUGAAAUGCGUAGAUAUAGGAAGGAACACCAGUGGCGAAGGCGACCACCUGGACUGAUACUGACACUGAGGUGCGAAAGCGUGGGGAGCAAACAGGAUUAGAUACCCCAGUAGUCCCUGUCUCUUAUAA
RNAcentral lists this ribosomal RNA (301 nucleotides) under uncultured bacterium. RNAcentral's name for it is "partial 16S ribosomal RNA". It matches the Rfam family "Bacterial small subunit ribosomal RNA", at positions 509 to 809 of the family's 1533-position model. The record is from RNAcentral.